Molecule: ribosomal RNA, 496 nt
Filed under: uncultured bacterium
Lineage: Bacteria
Description: bacterial SSU rRNA
Rfam family: Bacterial small subunit ribosomal RNA
Source: RNAcentral
AACGAACGCUGGCGGCGUGGAUAAGACAUGCAAGUCGAACGGGACUAAAUCUGUAGCAAUACAGGUUUAGUUUAGUGGCGAACGGGUGCGUAACACGUGGGCAAUCUGCCGAGAAGUGGGGGAUAGCUCGCCGAAAGGCGAAUUAAUACCGCAUAUGAUCAGCUAAGACAUCUUAGCGACAUCAAAGCCGGGGCAACCUGGCGCUUUUUGAGGAGCCCGCGGCCUANCAGCUAGUUGGUGAGGUAACGGCUCACCAAGGCUAUGACGGGUAGCUGGUCUGAGAGGGACGACCAGUCACACUGGAACUGAGGACACGGUCCAGACACCUACGGGUGGCAGCAGUCGAGAAUUUUUAGACAAUGGGGAAACCCUGAUCGAGCGACGCCGCGUGGAGGAUGAAGGUCUUCGGGUUGUAAACUCCUGUCAUUUGAGAACAAGGUGCACCGGUUAACUGCCGGUGCAUUGAUAGUAUCAGAAGAGGAAGAGACGGCUAACU